CUCGAUCAAGGUGACGCACAUCAGCCCUAAUGUAUUGGUUGUGCAAACAAUGGGCAAAGCAGAAGACAGUGGACAACGCUCAUUUCACACGGAUCCCGGGGCGCUCUAGACCAGAAAAUACAAUAAUCUCAAGGAUGUAUCAAAUGUGAUCUUUCCACCUUCACACUCGAACGACCCAUCAAUGAUUCGUCAAAACACACGAGGCGUGGAUCUUGAGAGAACGUAGUCUAAACGAUGGAACACAGCAUUCCAUACCACCCCUGUGUGCAAACAAUCCAAAAAUGUCUUUCACAAUAUCCAUAAAUGUUAGAAUAAUGUUA
Long non-coding RNA from Anguilla rostrata (American eel), 320 nucleotides. RefSeq lists it as uncharacterized. Lineage: Eukaryota; Metazoa; Chordata; Actinopteri; Anguilliformes; Anguillidae. The record is from RefSeq and is a predicted model, not a curated record. The transcript has 2 exons.